Molecule: ribosomal RNA, 446 nt
Filed under: uncultured bacterium
Lineage: Bacteria
Description: bacterial SSU rRNA
Rfam family: Bacterial small subunit ribosomal RNA
Source: RNAcentral
CCAGACUCCUACGGGAGGCAGCAGUGGGGGAUAUUGCACAAUGGGGGAAACCCUGAUGCAGCGACGCCGCGUGUGGGAAGACGGUCCUCUGGAUUGUAAACCACUGUCCCCAGGGACGAAGAUGACGGUACCUGGGGAGGAAGCUCCGGCUAACUACGUGCCAGCAGCCGCGGUAAUACGUAGGGAGCGAGCGUUGUCCGGAAUUACUGGGCGUAAAGAGUUCGUAGGCGGUAUGUUAAGUCUGGUGUUAAAUGCAGAAGCUCAACUUCUGUUCGGCACUGGAUACUGGCAAACUAGAAUGCGGUAGAGGUAAAGGGAAUUCCUGGUGUAGCGGUGAAAUGCUUAGAUAUCAGGAGGAACAUCGGUGGCGUAAGCGCUUUACUGGGCCGUAAUUGACGCUGAGGAACGAAAGCCAGGGUAGCAAAUGGGAUUAGAUACCCUAGUAC